GAUGAACGCUGGCGGCGUGCUUAACACAUGCAAGUCGAACGGAAAGGCCCAAGCUUGCUUGGGUACUCGAUUGGCGAACGGGGGAGUAACACGUGGGUGUUCUGCCCUUCACUUCGGGAUAAGCCUGGGAAACUGGGUCUCAUACCGGAUAUGAUCUCUUCAUGGAUGUUGUGGUGGAAAGAAUUCGCGGUGUGGGAUGAGUUCGCGGCCUAUCAGCUUGUUAGUGGGGUGAUGGUCUACCAAGGCGUCGACGGGUAGCCGGCACGUGAGAGUGUACGGCCACAUUGGGACUGAGAGAGAGGCCGGAGUCGGGCGGGGUGCGGCAGUGGGGAAUAUUGGACAAAGGGAGCAAGCGUGAGGGAGGGAGGUCGCGGGGGCGAUGACGGCUGUCAGGUUGUAAACACCUUUCGCUAGGGAAGAGGCGUUUUUUUGACGGUACCUGGAGAAGAAGCACCGGCUAACUACGUG
RNAcentral lists this ribosomal RNA (468 nucleotides) under uncultured bacterium. RNAcentral describes it as "partial 16S ribosomal RNA". It matches the Rfam family "Bacterial small subunit ribosomal RNA", at positions 28 to 507 of the family's 1533-position model. The record is from RNAcentral.